RNAcentral lists this transfer RNA (64 nucleotides) under Gebiacantha plantae. RNAcentral describes it as "tRNA-His". The record is from RNAcentral. Lineage: Eukaryota; Metazoa; Arthropoda; Malacostraca; Decapoda; Upogebiidae.
GUUUAAGUAGUUUAAAAAAAAUUUUGGUUUGUGGGACCAAAGAUGUAAUAUUUUAUCUUAAACC